Molecule: ribosomal RNA, 402 nt
Filed under: uncultured bacterium
Lineage: Bacteria
Description: bacterial SSU rRNA
Rfam family: Bacterial small subunit ribosomal RNA
Source: RNAcentral
UGGGGAAUAUUGCACAAUGGGCGAAAGCCUGAUGCAGCAACGCCGCGUGAGUGAUGAAGGCCUUCGGGUUGUAAAGCUCUGUCUUUUGGGACGAUAAUGACGGUACCAAAGGAGGAAGCCACGGCUAACUACGUGCCAGCAGCCGCGGUAAUACGUAGGUGGCAAGCGUUGUCCGGAAUUACUGGGCGUAAAGAAUGCGUAGGUGGAUAUGCAAGUCAGAUGUGAAAUACCCGGGCUCAACUUGGGUGCGGCAUUUGAAACUAUAUAGCUAGAGUGCAGGAGAGGAAAGCGGAAUUCCUAGUGUAGCGGUGAAAUGCGUAGAGAUUAGGAAGCACACCAGUGGCGAAGGCGGCUUUCUGGACUGUAACUGACACUGAGGCAUGAAAGCGUGGGGAGCAAACA